UACGAAGGGGGCUAGCGUUGUUCGGAAUUACUGGGCGUAAAGGGUGCGUAGGCGGCUUUCUAAGUCGGAUGUGAAAACUCUGGGCUCAACCCAGAGCCUGCAUCCGAAACUGGAAAGCUAGGGUUCUGGAGGGGAAAGCGGAAUUCCUGGUGUAGCGGUGAAAUGCGUAGAUAUCAGGAGGAACACCGGUGGCGAAGGCGGCUUUCUGGACAGAUACCGACGCUGAGGCACGAAAGCUAGGGGAGCAAACAGG
RNAcentral lists this ribosomal RNA (253 nucleotides) under uncultured bacterium. RNAcentral's name for it is "partial 16S ribosomal RNA". It matches the Rfam family "Bacterial small subunit ribosomal RNA", at positions 524 to 776 of the family's 1533-position model. The record is from RNAcentral.